Uloborus diversus is the source of this 5371-nucleotide RNA transcript. It is a transcript of the gene named 6-phosphofructo-2-kinase/fructose-2,6-bisphosphatase-like, with no coding region annotated. The record is from RefSeq and is a predicted model, not a curated record. The transcript is spliced from 14 exons. NCBI's taxonomy places the organism in Eukaryota, Metazoa, Arthropoda, Arachnida, Araneae, Uloboridae.
GCCUAUGAAUGAUAAUAAAUUAAAUAAAUAAAUAAAUAAAAACUAUUUUGUUAAAAAAAAAUAAAUAAAAAAAUUAUUAAAUAAAAACAAAAAACCCGACUGCGUAAAAACCAAAAAAACUAAAAAGAAAAAUUUAUAAGCCCAGUAGUUUAGAAUGUUAUUAAGUACUACUGAAUAACUACGCCGUUGAAAUAGUUUUAUAACCGUACACAGAUAAGGCAGUAACACAGAUAAUCAUAAAUUCAAAAGCAGAAUAGAAGGAUCAACAGUCGGGGCCCAUUCCUUUCUGAUUCAAGGAACCCCGUAAAAAAAAUUUGAAUGAGCCCCGACUGUUGAUCCUUCUAUUCGGCUUUUGAAUUUAUGAUUUGUGAAAUUCUCCCUCCCCUCCCCAAGAAAAAUAAUUAAAUAAUAAUAAUGAUAAUAAUAAUAAUAAUAAUUUAAAAUGAAUAAUUAAAUAAAUCGGGAACAAAGAUAAGUUAAAAGAUAAAAUUGAAAAUAUCUUGAUUGGAUGCUUUUUCCCCUCAUUUCUUCUGAAGACUGACUACCUUGGUAUAAGAGUACAGAGGUAUCCCCCCUCCCCCAAAGACCACAAAGCACCCAAAGAAUGAGAGCCUGCCCCCCAAAAAAGGAAAAUGUCCCAAACCCCCCUUAAAAAUUUCAAUGUCGAGGUCUGCGGCAUGCCCUUCCCCCACUCAUGGUGGGCAGGGGUAGGGGCAUCCCUAAAAAAUGAUGGACACAGAAAUGAACAGGAAAUUUGAAUGAAGGUCAAAAAGGUUGCUCACCGGCUAUCGCUUCUAUUCGAAGAGCCAUGCGCUGACAGUGGGCGGCUGCUCAGCCUCACUCUGAUUGGCAGAUAGCCGAGGGUGUGUUGCUGCGCUUCCUGUGAAAAAGUCUUCCUCGGUUAUUUUCAACUGCCGCAGAAACUGGAUUGCUGUGUUUGGUGUCGGCUUGCAACGGGACGAGCCGGAAAUAUGAUGUGUGACACAUUUCAUGGUUCAGUAUUGUUUUGGAAUUGCAAACAGUGCACAAAUGUAAAAUCGCAUAUUUCUCACAGAAUGAAAGCGGCGUGAGUGGCUAGCUGACUGUUUUCGGUGCAAGCAGGGUGCAAUACAGAAGCAUCGAUUUUUUUCCACCUUCGUUUAUUUUGUUUACUUCGGUGCAAUAUGCAUGUGGAUUGGAGCAUCGUAAAUGCACACCCCGUGAUGCGAAGGGAAUCUGUUGUGGGUCCAGGAGAUCGAGUCAACUAUGUGAAUUUGCCUCAUGUAAUUGCCAUGGUGGGUUUGCCUGCUCGGGGCAAAACUUACAUCGCAAAAAAAUUAACCCGAUAUUUGAACUGGAUUGGUAUUACCACAAGAGUGUUCAAUGUUGGUGAAUAUCGACGCCAAGCUACUGAAGCAUACAAGAACCAUGAAUUUUUCAAUCCCAACAACAGGGAAGCAAUGGCGAUCAGGAAUAAAUGUGCAUUAGAUGCGCUUGAAGAUAUGUGCAAGUGGCUUGAGCAAGAUGGAGAAGUAGCUGUUUAUGAUGCCACGAACACCACUUAUGACAGGCGAAAAUUAAUUCAUGAAAUUGUAUGUGAAAAAUUUGGAGCAAAAUUGUUUUUUGUUGAAUCUACUUGUGAUGACCCAAGCAUAAUCGAAGCAAAUUUGAAGGAAGUGAAAGUAAACAGCCCUGAUUAUCGAAAUCGAAAUGUUGAAGAAGCUCUCUCAGACUUCAUGUUUCGCAUUGAGCACUAUGUCAAAGUGUAUCAGCCACUUGACGAAAAUAUUGAAAGCAAUUACUCUUUUAUGCAGGUUUAUAAUGCUGGACAAAAAGUUUUCGUUCAUCGACAUGAAGGUCAUAUCCAGAGCAGAAUUGUUUAUUAUCUGAUGAAUAUUCACAUUAUUCCUCGUUCUAUUUAUCUUACAAGGCAUGGGGAGAGCGAGUUUAAUGCUUUAGGGAGAAUAGGAGGAGAUUCUGAAUUAUCGGAAAGAGGAUGGGAAUAUGCAAAAAUGUUGGCUAAGUACAUAAAAGAACAACAGAUUCCUCGACUACGAAUUUGGACCAGCUUACUGAAAAGGACAGUGCAAACUGCUUCUGGUAUAAUUGCACCCCAGGAACGUUGGAAAGCUCUUAAUGAAAUAGAUGCUGGCAUUUGUGAAGAGAUGACAUAUGAAGAAAUCAAAGAAAAAUAUCCACAAGAAUUUUCUGCCAGAGAUUCAGACAAGUUCAAGUACAGAUAUCCAAGAGGAGAAUCGUAUGAAGACUUAGUUUCAAGAUUGGAACCUGUCAUAAUGGAACUUGAAAGGCAAGAAAACGUUCUAGUCGUAGCUCACCAGGCCGUUUUAAGAUGUUUGCUGGCUUAUUUUAUGGACAAAAAUUCGACUGAAAUCCCAUACCUGAAAGUGCCCUUGCACACUAUCCUGAAGUUAACAAGGGCUGCAUACGGAUGUGAGAUUGAAGAAAUCAGAGUACCUGUUGAAGCAGUAGAUGAUCACUCACUCAUCUAAGAUGCUUAAGGAAAGAAGUAUUAUGACACAAGUGCCUUAUAGAGUUACUUGAUAAUAGGUUUUAUCUACGUGUUAUUUGUGUGUGAUGUCAAAUUUUGACUAUAAGUAUGAGUUAGAAGGAUAAGAUAUCUUCUAUAGAUCAUAGACUUUUAACAAUAAUGCUUCUUUUUUGUACUUAGUAAAACAUUUCCACAAAAAAUGCUCAUUUUUUUUAUAAGCAUUUUUAUUAUUCAUAUAUUAUGAAGUUAUCUAAAUAACUAUUAUACUUCAGCAUAUUUGACACAGGGUAAUUGGGUAUUUGAAUCAUGAAUAUACUGAUAAUAAUACUACUUUUUCUCUUUUUAAAAUGUAUUUUUCGUGGUUUAUAGCAAUUUUUUAGCUUUCCCAAAUUGAAAAAUGUACUAGACAUUUUUAUUAUUAUUUAUUAUUAUUACUAUUAUUAUUAUUAUUAUUUUUUUGCUUUAAAAACAUUUUAAAUUUAGUUUUAUUGCAAUAUGAAAAUGUACUUAAAGAAAUAAUAAGGUUAUCAUACAAAUAACAAACAUUAAAAAAAAAAAAAGAAUUUUGAACAUAUGGAUAUGCUUCACAAUUUUGUCUUCCUAAAAUAUUUCUUUAUACUAUUUUAAACUUCAUAAAUCAAUUUUGAUUGGCAUUUUUUGACAGGAAUAUCAAUUAUUGUACUGCAAAUUUAAUGGCAAGGACAUAUGAAUAAUAAAAUAUUGUGCAAAAGGGUUAGAAAAUUUUUUUUUAACUGUUUCAUUUUCUUGACAAGAUAUAUUUUGAAAGUAGAAAGUACUAUUUUUCCAAAAUUUUAAUAGUUUAAAUGAAAAAGCUUGCGUGGUUGAAAUGAAAAUGUACACUGAAGAAAUCUUGUUAUUUAUUCAACAUGUUUGUUAAAUCCACAGUGCCAUUGUGUAGACUAUUUCUUACUUGUAAUAUGCCUUUUUUAAUGCAUUGCAUGUUUAAAUAAGUUAAAGCCAAAUGUACAGUAUUAUUUUAUGUAGAAUUUUUUAUUAAAUAUUUUAACUUUUGGUGUUACAUACUUUGUAAAAUCUUGUGGUGUGCCCAAGUUUUGUCUUGAUAUUUAAUUAGAGUUAUGUUAUUGAAGAACCAAGUUUUUAGUUAUUGAAAGAACUAUAAAUUCUGCAAUGUCUGGCCAGUAAUUUUUCCGAAACAAUAUUUUUGGUGUUUGUUAUACUUUUCUAUUUCAAUUAUAUACCUCUGAUCAAACCUUUCUGAGAAUUGAACUGAAUUUUCAAGAAAGGUAAAUAAAAUUCAAGAAGUAUCAAAUAUUGUUUUUAAUAAUAAAAUGUUAAACAUUAAAAAAGAAGUUAAUAAAAUGUUGAAUUUUAAUAAUAAGUUAGUAUAGAAGAAGCAAGGGUUAAAUAAUGUGCAAAAUACUUCACAGGAUUCUUUUUUUUUUUUUUUAAAUGUCUAUGGACUACGAAAGCGGUUAUAGUAAUGAUAUAAAGUGGAUUAAAGCUCUUACUGAAUUAAAAUGCCUAAGUAACAAGUCUUUCAAUGCAUGUGUGGAACAACCUGCUCAUUGUUUAAAAUGAAUAUUGUAAAAAUCCACUCAAAUUUUACUUUUGCUUGCUGUUUCACAUUUUAUGUUUCUUAAGUUAAAAAACAAUGCCAAUGGUUUUCAAAAAAUUAAUUUAAUAUCUAUGUAUCUAAGCAUUUAUUGUUAAAAAGUAAAUAAAUAACAAAGUAAUAAUUUAAGAUUCAUGAAACCUGGCGUUUAGAACAAAAAAAAAGUUUUUAGGGAGGUGAUAUUAGUGUUUAGCGUUUGUUUUUAGCAAAGCUUCUCAUUUCUUUGUUACAAGAAACAAAGGACAACUAUUACGUAAUGUAAUGUAUACUGGACAUUUCUUUAUUUUGUUCAAUUUUAUAAAGAAAAAUAUCAAUCACUGAAGAUAUCUCUCAGUUUCAAACAUUCCUUUCUGAGAAAUACUUGUGAACAAUAGAAGAUAUAAAGUAAAUAAUAGCUUUUUUUACAUAGUAGUACAGUGCACACAGAAAACUUAGAAAGCAUUUAUCAUAAAAAUAUACAAUUUAUGUUCUCUUGACUUUUAAUUUGUAAAAUUUAUUUGUAAAGCCAAUUUAUUGAAUAAUUGGAUUCAAUCUACAUCAGCUUGGUCAUAAAAGUUUCUGUAAAUAUGGCUACUAGAAGAAUCCAAAACUAAAAUGCUGUAUAAAAUUAUAGCAAAAGUGCAAUUUAUGUGUACAAAAUGUAACUGAGUAAUAAACACUAGAGGAGGGAGGAUAUUACAAAAUAAAAAUUACUGAUCAGUCAUUUUACAUUAAAAAAGUAAUUAAAACAAAAAAGCAAAGUGUGUUGAAUCUGAAUUUUAAAACAUAAGUCAUAUCUAUUUUAUGUUUCAUCUCAAAAAUAAUUACUUUGUUAAUAAACCUUCACAGUAUUUAUUUUCAUUGAUUUUUUUUUUUUUUUUUUUGUCUCUAGUCCCGAUUAAAAUCAGUUGGUUUUCACUAAAAUUAUAUGCAUUUCAAAUUAUAUUUCAUGUAUUUUCUAAAAUGACAUGCAGAAUUUAAAAACUUGUGUUAGUCUUUUGAUUUUAUUUCCUCGUGCAAUAAACUUCAUAUUUUUUAAAAACGUUUUUUAUUACAACAAGAUUUUAGAGAUUAUAUUAACUUAUUUAACAUAUUCAUUGAAUUCUUUAUAGUAUGUUAAAGUAUUACAUGCUUAAACUAUCAUAGUUAAAGCACUGUUACCAAAAUAUGUUUUUGAAUAAGUUGCUUACUUUUAAUUUUUAUAAAUGAAAGUGCUUCUAUUAAAAAAAAACUUUUUAUAAAACUAUUUAUAUAUGUACAUUAUGUACUUAUAGGUGAUAUUGUGUUGAUUAAAAGUAAUUUUGAAAUAA